This 75-nucleotide transfer RNA is filed under the name Microcaldota archaeon. RNAcentral's name for it is "tRNA-Lys". It matches the Rfam family "tRNA". Rfam says of the family: Transfer RNA (tRNA) molecules are approximately 80 nucleotides in length. Their secondary structure includes four short double-helical elements and three loops (D, anti-codon, and T loops). The record is from RNAcentral. Lineage: Archaea; Nanobdellati; Microcaldota.
GGGCCCGUAACUCAGUUCGGCUAGAGUGGCUGGCUUUUAACCAGUAAGUCACGGGUUCGAAUCCCGUCGGGCCCG